RNAcentral lists this ribosomal RNA (484 nucleotides) under uncultured bacterium. Its description in RNAcentral is "partial 16S ribosomal RNA". It matches the Rfam family "Bacterial small subunit ribosomal RNA", at positions 28 to 523 of the family's 1533-position model. The record is from RNAcentral.
GACGAACGCUGGCGGCGUGCUUAACACAUGCAAGUCGAACGAUGAAGCUGGAGCUUGCUCUGGCGGAUUAGUGGCGAACGGGUGAGUAACACGUGAGAAAUCUGCCCUUGACUCUGGGAUAACUGCGGGAAACUGUAGCUAAUACCGGAUACUUUCCCUGGUCGGCAUCCACUGGGGUAGAAAGAAUUUCGGUCAAGGAUGAUCUCGCGGCCUAUGAGCUUGUUGGUGAGGUAAUGGCUCACCAAGGCGACGAGGGGUAGCCGGCCUGGGAGGGAUAUCGGAAAAACGGGGACUGAGAAACGGCCCAGAUGCCGAUGAGAGGCAGCAGUGUGAAGAAUUAGACGACGAGCUAAAGCAUGAUGCAGAAACGCCGCGUGAGGGAUGAAGGCUUUCGGGUCGUAAAAGUCUUUUGGCAGGUAAGAAGCGAAAGUGACGGUACCUGCAGAAAAAGCACCGGCUAACUACGUGCCAGCCGCCGCCGUAA